GUGUCAGCCGCCGCGGUAAUACAUAGGUGGCUAGCGUUACUCGGAAUCACUGGGCAUAAAGGGCGUGUAGGCGGACGUAUAAGUCCGAUGUGAAAUCCCCCGGCUCAACCGGGGAAGGUCAUUGGAUACUGUACGUCUUGAGUGCGGGAGGGGAGAAUGGAACUCUUGGUGGAGCGGUGAAAUGCGUAGAUAUCAAGAGGAACGCCGGUGGCGAAAGCGGUUCUCUGGCCCGCAACUGACGCUGAGGCGCGAAAGCUAGGGGAGCAAACGGGAUUAGAUACCCUUGUAGUCC
Molecule: ribosomal RNA, 292 nt
Filed under: uncultured bacterium
Lineage: Bacteria
Description: partial 16S ribosomal RNA
Rfam family: Bacterial small subunit ribosomal RNA
Source: RNAcentral